RNAcentral lists this ribosomal RNA (509 nucleotides) under Aporia procris. Its description in RNAcentral is "partial 16S ribosomal RNA". The record is from RNAcentral. Lineage: Eukaryota; Metazoa; Arthropoda; Insecta; Lepidoptera; Pieridae.
GUCUUUUUGAAAAUAAUUUAAAGUUUAAUCUGCCCACUGAAAAUUUUAAAGGGCUGCAGUAUUUUGACUGUACAAAGGUAGCAUAAUAAAUAGUCUUUUAAUUGAAGACUUGUAUGAAUGAUUUAAUGAGAUAUAAACUGUUUCUUUAUUAAUAAUAGAAUUUAAUUUUUUAGUUAAAAAGCUAAAAUUUUUUUAAAAGACGAGAAGACCCUAUAGAGUUUAAUUUUUUAAUUUUUAUAAUUAUUUUAUAAAAUUUAUAAUUUAUAAAAAUUAAAAAAUUUUGUUGGGGUGAUAGAAAAAUUUAAUUAACUUUUUUUAAAAAUUUAACAUUAAUUUAUGAUUUUAUGAUCCAUAAUUUAUGAUUAUAAGAUUAAAUUACCUUAGGGAUAACAGCGUAAUUUUUUUUUUUAGUUCAAAUAAAAAUUAAAGUUUGCGACCUCGAUGUUGGAUUAAGAUAAAAUUUAAAUGUAAAAGUUUAAAAUUUUGAUCUGUUCGAUCAUUAAAAUCUU